RNAcentral lists this ribosomal RNA (422 nucleotides) under Adenomera simonstuarti group sp. ABGD cluster 38. RNAcentral's name for it is "partial large subunit ribosomal RNA". It matches the Rfam family "Bacterial large subunit ribosomal RNA", at positions 1835 to 2457 of the family's 2925-position model. The record is from RNAcentral. Lineage: Eukaryota; Metazoa; Chordata; Amphibia; Anura; Leptodactylidae.
CUUGCCUCAAAUAAGAGGUCCAGCCUGCCCAGUGACACUGUUCAACGGCCGCGGUAUCCUAACCGUGCGAAGGUAGCGUAAUCACUUGUUCUUUAAAUGAGGACUAGUAUGAAAGGCAUCACGAGAGUCAUACUGUCUCCUUUUUCCAAUCAGUUAAACUAAUCUCCCCGUGAAGAAGCGAGGAUAAUUCUAUAAGACGAGAAGACCCUAUGGAGCUUUAAACAAAUAACACUUGCCUACCCCUCCUUUAAUUUCAGAAAAAUCUCCUACUUUGGCAUGAUACUUAUAAGUUUUUGAUUGGGGUGAUCACGGAACAAAAAACAACCUCCGCAAUGAAAGACACUCCCCUAACUAAGUUAAGAACUACAGCUCUAUACAUCAACAAAUUGACACUAAUUGAUCCAAUAUAUUGAUCAAUGAAC